RNAcentral lists this ribosomal RNA (2901 nucleotides) under Escherichia coli. RNAcentral's name for it is "Bacterial large subunit ribosomal RNA". It matches the Rfam family "Bacterial large subunit ribosomal RNA". The record is from RNAcentral. Lineage: Bacteria; Pseudomonadati; Pseudomonadota; Gammaproteobacteria; Enterobacterales; Enterobacteriaceae.
GUUAAGCGACUAAGCGUACACGGUGGAUGCCCUGGCAGUCAGAGGCGAUGAAGGACGUGCUAAUCUGCGAUAAGCGUCGGUAAGGUGAUAUGAACCGUUAUAACCGGCGAUUUCCGAAUGGGGAAACCCAGUGUGUUUCGACACACUAUCAUUAACUGAAUCCAUAGGUUAAUGAGGCGAACCGGGGGAACUGAAACAUCUAAGUACCCCGAGGAAAAGAAAUCAACCGAGAUUCCCCCAGUAGCGGCGAGCGAACGGGGAGGAGCCCAGAGCCUGAAUCAGUGUGUGUGUUAGUGGAAGCGUCUGGAAAGGCGUGCGAUACAGGGUGACAGCCCCGUACACAAAAAUGCACAUACUGUGAGCUCGAUGAGUAGGGCGGGACACGUGGUAUCCUGUCUGAAUAUGGGGGGACCAUCCUCCAAGGCUAAAUACUCCUGACUGACCGAUAGUGAACCAGUACCGUGAGGGAAAGGCGAAAAGAACCCCGGCGAGGGGAGUGAAAAAGAACCUGAAACCGUGUACGUACAAGCAGUGGGAGCCUCUUAAUGGGGUGACUGCGUACCUUUUGUAUAAUGGGUCAGCGACUUAUAUUCUGUAGCAAGGUUAACCGAAUAGGGGAGCCGAAGGGAAACCGAGUCUUAACUGGGCGUUAAGUUGCAGGGUAUAGACCCGAAACCCGGUGAUCUAGCCAUGGGCAGGUUGAAGGUUGGGUAACACUAACUGGAGGACCGAACCGACUAAUGUUGAAAAAUUAGCGGAUGACUUGUGGCUGGGGGUGAAAGGCCAAUCAAACCGGGAGAUAGCUGGUUCUCCCCGAAAGCUAUUUAGGUAGCGCCUCGUGAAUUCAUCUCCGGGGGUAGAGCACUGUUUCGGCAAGGGGGUCAUCCCGACUUACCAACCCGAUGCAAACUGCGAAUACCGGAGAAUGUUAUCACGGGAGACACACGGCGGGUGCUAACGUCCGUCGUGAAGAGGGAAACAACCCAGACCGCCAGCUAAGGUCCCAAAGUCAUGGUUAAGUGGGAAACGAUGUGGGAAGGCCCAGACAGCCAGGAUGUUGGCUUAGAAGCAGCCAUCAUUUAAAGAAAGCGUAAUAGCUCACUGGUCGAGUCGGCCUGCGCGGAAGAUGUAACGGGGCUAAACCAUGCACCGAAGCUGCGGCAGCGACACUAUGUGUUGUUGGGUAGGGGAGCGUUCUGUAAGCCUGCGAAGGUGUACUGUGAGGUAUGCUGGAGGUAUCAGAAGUGCGAAUGCUGACAUAAGUAACGAUAAAGCGGGUGAAAAGCCCGCUCGCCGGAAGACCAAGGGUUCCUGUCCAACGUUAAUCGGGGCAGGGUGAGUCGACCCCUAAGGCGAGGCCGAAAGGCGUAGUCGAUGGGAAACAGGUUAAUAUUCCUGUACUUGGUGUUACUGCGAAGGGGGGACGGAGAAGGCUAUGUUGGCCGGGCGACGGUUGUCCCGGUUUAAGCGUGUAGGCUGGUUUUCCAGGCAAAUCCGGAAAAUCAAGGCUGAGGCGUGAUGACGAGGCACUACGGUGCUGAAGCAACAAAUGCCCUGCUUCCAGGAAAAGCCUCUAAGCAUCAGGUAACAUCAAAUCGUACCCCAAACCGACACAGGUGGUCAGGUAGAGAAUACCAAGGCGCUUGAGAGAACUCGGGUGAAGGAACUAGGCAAAAUGGUGCCGUAACUUCGGGAGAAGGCACGCUGAUAUGUAGGUGAAGUCCCUCGCGGAUGGAGCUGAAAUCAGUCGAAGAUACCAGCUGGCUGCAACUGUUUAUUAAAAACACAGCACUGUGCAAACACGAAAGUGGACGUAUACGGUGUGACGCCUGCCCGGUGCCGGAAGGUUAAUUGAUGGGGUUAGCGGUAACGCGAAGCUCUUGAUCGAAGCCCCGGUAAACGGCGGCCGUAACUAUAACGGUCCUAAGGUAGCGAAAUUCCUUGUCGGGUAAGUUCCGACCUGCACGAAUGGCGUAAUGAUGGCCAGGCUGUCUCCACCCGAGACUCAGUGAAAUUGAACUCGCUGUGAAGAUGCAGUGUACCCGCGGCAAGACGGAAAGACCCCGUGAACCUUUACUAUAGCUUGACACUGAACAUUGAGCCUUGAUGUGUAGGAUAGGUGGGAGGCUUUGAAGUGUGGACGCCAGUCUGCAUGGAGCCGGCCUUGAAAUACCACCCUUUAAUGUUUGAUGUUCUAACGUUGGCCCCUGAUCGGGGUUGCGGACAGUGUCUGGUGGGUAGUUUGACUGGGGCGGUCUCCUCCUAAAGAGUAACGGAGGAGCACGAAGGUUGGCUAAUCCUGGUCGGACAUCAGGAGGUUAGUGCAAUGGCAUAAGCCAGCUUGACUGCGAGCGUGACGGCGCGAGCAGGUGCGAAAGCAGGUCAUAGUGAUCCGGUGGUUCUGAAUGGAAGGGCCAUCGCUCAACGGAUAAAAGGUACUCCGGGGAUAACAGGCUGAUACCGCCCAAGAGUUCAUAUCGACGGCGGUGUUUGGCACCUCGAUGUCGGCUCAUCACAUCCUGGGGCUGAAGUAGGUCCCAAGGGUAUGGCUGUUCGCCAUUUAAAGUGGUACGCGAGCUGGGUUUAGAACGUCGUGAGACAGUUCGGUCCCUAUCUGCCGUGGGCGCUGGAGAACUGAGGGGGGCUGCUCCUAGUACGAGAGGACCGGAGUGGACGCAUCACUGGUGUUCGGGUUGUCAUGCCAAUGGCACUGCCCGGUAGCUAAAUGCGGAAGAGAUAAGUGCUGAAAGCAUCUAAGCACGAAACUUGCCCCGAGAUGAGUUCUCCCUGACUCCUUGAGGGUCCUGAAGGAACGUUGAAGACGACGACGUUGAUAGGCCGGGUGUGUAAGCGCAGCGAUGCGUUGAGCUAACCGGUACUAAUGAACCGUGAGGCUUAACC